AGCGGCGAACGGGUGAGUAACACGUGAGUAAUCUGCCCUGCGCUCUGGGAUAGCCACCGGAAACGGUGAUUAAUACCGGAUAGGACCACUUCACGCAUGUGAUGGUGGUGGAAAGUUUUUUCGGCGCAGGAUGUGCUCGCGGCCUAUCAGCUUGUUGGUGAGGUAACGGCUCACCAAGGCUUUGACGGGUAACCGGCCUGAGAGGGUGACCGGUCACACUGGGACUGAGACACGGCCCAGACUCCUACGGGAGGCAGCAGUGGGGAAUAUUGGACAAUGGGCGGAAGCCUGAUCCAGCAACGCCGCGUGAGGGAUGACGGCCUUCGGGUUGUAAACCUCUUUCAGUACCGACGAAGCGAAAGUGACGGUAGGUACAGAAGAAGGACCGGCCAACUACGUGCCAGCAGCCGCGGUAAUACGUAGGGUCCGAGCGUUGUCCGGAAUUAUUGGGCGUAAAGGGCUCGUAGGCGGUUUGUCGCGUCGGGAGUGAAAACACCGGGCUUAACUCGGUGCUUGCUUUCGAUACGGGCAGACUAGAGGUAUGCAGGGGAGAAUGGAAUUCCUGGUGUAGCGGUGAAUGCGCGGAUAUCAGGAGGAACACCGGUGGCGAAG
This 612-nucleotide ribosomal RNA is filed under the name uncultured Actinomycetes bacterium. RNAcentral's name for it is "bacterial SSU rRNA". It matches the Rfam family "Bacterial small subunit ribosomal RNA", at positions 94 to 720 of the family's 1533-position model. The record is from RNAcentral. Lineage: Bacteria; Bacillati; Actinomycetota; Actinomycetes.